GAUGAAGAACGUAGCGAAAUGCGAUAAGUAAUGUGAAUUGCAGAAUUCAGUGAAUCAUCGAAUCUUUGAACGCACAUUGCGCCCCCCGGUAUUCCGGCGGGCAUGCCUGUUCGAGCGUCAUUUCAACCCUCAAGCUUUGCUUGGUGUUGGGCGUCUUGUCUCUAGCUUUGCUGGAGACUCGCCUUAAAGUAAUUGGCAGCCGGCCUACUGGUUUCGGAGCGCAGCACAAGUCGCACUCUCUAUCAGCAAAGGUCUAGCAUCCAUUAAGCCUUUUUUUCAACUUUUGACCUCGGAUCAGGUAGGGAUACCCGCUGAACUUAAGCAUAUCAAUAAGCGGAGGA
RNAcentral lists this unclassified non-coding RNA (341 nucleotides) under soil metagenome. RNAcentral describes it as "partial contains 5.8S ribosomal RNA, internal transcribed spacer 2, and large subunit ribosomal RNA". The stretch from base 1 to 120 matches the Rfam family "5.8S ribosomal RNA", at positions 35 to 154 of the family's 154-position model. The record is from RNAcentral.